This 306-nucleotide long non-coding RNA is filed under the name Dendronephthya gigantea. RNAcentral describes it as "uncharacterized LOC114544999". The record is from RNAcentral. Lineage: Eukaryota; Metazoa; Cnidaria; Anthozoa; Malacalcyonacea; Nephtheidae.
AAACGACCCCAACGAAGAGAAGUACUGUACGCUUAUUCAUAGAUGAUUGAGCGAAAAUUAUGGUCAAAAUUUUCCUGAUGAAAAUCUCGUACUGCUAUGAUUACCCUAAAUACGAUCCCUCAUUUCAUUCUCCUGCUGACGUAUGUGAUCUCAUAUAACACACCAACAAUUACACUUCUCGUCAGGUUAUCGUUGGGGUCCAUUGUAUAAUGUUGUUGACGAAGAAGUAGAAAGCAGUCAUUUAAAUUCCUCGCUGCAUCUCCAGGAAAUUUAACCGAAGCUGUGUACAGAUUUAACUGCAAUAUU